UACGUAGGGGGCAAGCGUUAUCCGGAUUUACUGGGUGUAAAGGGAGCGUAGACGGCAUGGCAAGUCAGAUGUGAAAGCCCGGGGCUCAACCCCGGGACUGCAUUUGAAACUGUCAGGCUGGAGUGCAGGAGAGGUAAGCGGAAUUCCUAGUGUAGCGGUGAAAUGCGUAGACAUUAGGAGGAACACCAGUGGCGAAGGCGGCUUACUGGACUGUAACUGACGUUGAGGCUCGAAAGCGUGGGGAGCAAACAGG
RNAcentral lists this ribosomal RNA (253 nucleotides) under uncultured bacterium. RNAcentral's name for it is "partial 16S ribosomal RNA". It matches the Rfam family "Bacterial small subunit ribosomal RNA", at positions 524 to 776 of the family's 1533-position model. The record is from RNAcentral.